UUCCCUCACCCCUUGCGUCGCGGCGCAGCCGGUUACUCUCGCUCACGUUGUCGCGGCUGCCGGUCACUCUCACUCACGCCGGCUAUCUAUCUCGUUGCCCAGGUAUUCCCUAUUCUCUUCUGUUUUACCAGCAAAACCAUAGGCAUUUUCCCCCUUCAUUAAUUAGUCAAAUAAUACCGCAUGUUUUUGUUUUGAUUUCUUGUUUAUGCAAUCUAUUCGGGGGCGUCAAUUGUGUUUUUGGUGUUUUGGAUUUCUCAGAGCAUCGAUGGGUACUAGAAAGUAGAAAAUCCUAAGACAAGACUUCGAUUGACGAGAAUGAGAUUCGGAUUACAAGCAUGACUCUGCUACAUCACUUACAACAUGACUCUGCUCCAGGUGUUUCUCUAUAUUUAUUGGGUUAUUUCAAUGCUAAUUGUUUGAUUUUGCUGAAAUUAUGUCACCUGUUACAUACACUGCUUUGUCCUUUGAAUUCUCUUUUCAAGUUUUGGGGAUGGUAUUUUUACGUGCUUGUGUUUAUUUCAUUGUUUAGAAUGUAGAUUGAAUGUUAACAUCGUGUUGCGGUCCUUGCAGAUACUCAUUAAUACGUUAUAAUGAUUUUUAUUUUUUACCGAUGAACCUUAAAUUAUAAAAGAUUAUGUGAAACAAAUUUUUGAAUGUGCAUUGGUGUAUUGGAUGGCUCAAUUUGUUGCUGAAUAUGACUAGUAGUGAUUCAUGGUACUUAAUCUUGAAUGUCAUUUCUAAACAUAAAAGUCAAUUCCUGUAAUUUUGAGCUCUUUUAAAUCAUUCAACCUGCUCUAUCUUUUCUAUUUUUUUUUUUAUCAUUUAAGUUCAUGUGAUCCUAAAAACAAUUAGGAAUCUCGGCCAACUUAUUAAUAAAUCUAUUUUUAAUUAAAAGGUUCACCAAGACCUUUUUGUCAUGAAAGUAUCUAUGAUCGGUUUUGGCUUGCAGUUGCUCUAGGUUGCAUUUAACGACGUGUUGUGAGUUUGUUAUCCUUCUUUAUCAUCUCUUUUAAUUCCUUCUGUUUGAAAGGGGCCAAUUCUUUUUGGCUAAUUCCUUUGCAAGUGUAAAUUAGUUUGAUUGGCUUUGUUGAGAAGGUACUGGUUCUUCUUUUUCGGUGUUUUGGGACUUGCCUUGACUUGAUUUAAAAAGUGCCUGAUUUAAAUUUUUCUAUGUUGCUAGAAUGCUGAUUUUAGGUGUAACAAUACAUAAGCCAAAG
This 1217-nucleotide long non-coding RNA is filed under the name Salvia miltiorrhiza (redroot sage). RNAcentral describes it as "long non-coding RNA (SMIL_LNC007229)". Lineage: Eukaryota; Viridiplantae; Streptophyta; Magnoliopsida; Lamiales; Lamiaceae. The record is from RNAcentral.